AUUGAACGCUGGCGGCAGGCCUAACACAUGCAAGUCGAACGAGUGGCGGACGGGUGAGUAAUGUUUGGGAAUCUGCCUUAUGGAGGGGGAUAACUACGGGAAACGGUAGCUAAUACCGCAUACCAUAGGAUGAGCCCAAGUGGGAUUAGCUAGUUGGUGAGGUAAAGGCUCACCAAGUCGACGAUCCCUAGCUGGUCUGAGAGGAUGACCGGCCACACUGGAACUGAGACACGGCCCAGACUCCUACGGGAGGCAGCAGUGGGGAAUAUUGCGCAAUGGGAGCAAGCCUGACGCAGCCAUGCCGCGUGAAUGAAGAAGGCCUUCGGGUUGUAAAGUUCUUUCAGUAGCGAGGCGUUAACUACAGAAGAAGCACCGGCUAACUCCGUGCCAGCCGCCGCGGUAAUAC
RNAcentral lists this ribosomal RNA (406 nucleotides) under uncultured bacterium. RNAcentral's name for it is "partial 16S ribosomal RNA". It matches the Rfam family "Bacterial small subunit ribosomal RNA", at positions 30 to 526 of the family's 1533-position model. The record is from RNAcentral.